This 501-nucleotide ribosomal RNA is filed under the name uncultured bacterium. RNAcentral describes it as "partial 16S ribosomal RNA". It matches the Rfam family "Bacterial small subunit ribosomal RNA", at positions 30 to 523 of the family's 1533-position model. The record is from RNAcentral.
AUUGAACGCUGGCGGCAGGCUUAACACAUGCAAGUCGAGCGGGGGAAGGUAGCUUGCUACCGGACCUAGCGGCGGACGGGUGAGUAAUGCUUAGGAAUCUGCCUAUUAGUGGGGGACAACAUCUCGAAAGGGAUGCUAAUACCGCAUACGUCCUACGGGAGAAAGCAGGGGAUCUUCGGACCUUGCGCUAAUAGAUGAGCCUAAGUCGGAUUAGCUAGUUGGUGGGGUAAAGGCCUACCAAGGCGACGAUCUGUAGCGGGUCUGAGAGGAUGGUCCGCCACACUGGGACUGAGACACGGCCCAGACUCCUACGGGAGGCAGCAGUGGGGAAUAUUGGACAAUGGGGGGAACCCUGAUCCAGCCAUGCCGCGUGUGUGAAGAAGGCCUUAUGGUUGUAAAGCACUUUAAGCGAGGAGGAGGCUACUUUAGUUAAUACCUAGAGACAGUGGACGUUACUCGCAGAAUAAGCACCGGCUAACUUCGUGCCAGCAGCCGCCGUAA